CAAUAGAUAUAAACAAUUCACCAAAGUUUCAUAGACAUUGGUGAAAGCCUUUUUGAGUUAUUGUCCGAAGUGUUGAAAAUCCCCCUUUUUUAUGAAUAAAGCCCCAUAAAUCCAAAACUUAAAAUCUGACAUUUAUAAAAAUUGAAAGGGAGCUUACAUCAAUAGAUAUAAACAAUUCACCAAAGUUUCAUGGACAUUGGUGAAAGCCUUUUUGAGUUACUGUCCGAAGUGUUGAAAAUCCCCCCUUUUUAUGAAUAAAGCCCCAUAAAUCCAAAACUUAAAAUCUAAAAAAAAAAAAAAAACGAAAGGGAGCUUACGUCAAUAGAUAUAAACAAUUCAUUUAAGUUUCAUGGAAAUUGGUGAAAGUGUUUUUGAGUUAUUGUCCGAAGUGUG
Molecule: long non-coding RNA, 393 nt
Filed under: Mytilus galloprovincialis (Mediterranean mussel)
Lineage: Eukaryota; Metazoa; Mollusca; Bivalvia; Mytilida; Mytilidae
Source: RNAcentral